GAUGAACGCUGGCGGCGUGCCUAAUACAUGCAAGUCGAGCGAACGGACGAGAAGCUUGCUUCUCUGAUGUUAGCGGCGGACGGGUGAGUAACACGUGGAUAACCUACCUAUAAGACUGGGAUAACUUCGGGAAACCGGAGCUAAUACCGGAUAAUAUUUUGAACCGCAUGGUUCAAAAGUGAAAGACGGUCUUGCUGUCACUUAUAGAUGGAUCCGCGCUGCAUUAGCUAGUUGGUAAGGUAACGGCUUACCAAGGCAACGAUGCAUAGCCGACCUGAGAGGGUGAUCGGCCACACUGGAACUGAGACACGGUCCAGCCUCCUACGGGAGGCAGCAGUAGGGAAUCUUCCGCAAUGGGCGAAAGCCUGACGGAGCAACGCCGCGUGAGUGAUGAAGGUCUUCGGAUCGUAAAACUCUGUUAUUGGGGAAGAACAUAUGUGUAAGUAACUGUGCACAUCUUGACGGUACCUAAUCAGAAAGCCACGGCUAACUACGUG
Molecule: ribosomal RNA, 497 nt
Filed under: uncultured bacterium
Lineage: Bacteria
Description: partial 16S ribosomal RNA
Rfam family: Bacterial small subunit ribosomal RNA
Source: RNAcentral